RNAcentral lists this ribosomal RNA (295 nucleotides) under Bacillus sp. NS2.3. Its description in RNAcentral is "partial 16S ribosomal RNA". It matches the Rfam family "Bacterial small subunit ribosomal RNA", at positions 74 to 357 of the family's 1533-position model. The record is from RNAcentral. Lineage: Bacteria; Bacillati; Bacillota; Bacilli; Caryophanales; Bacillaceae.
GGGAGCUGCUCCCUUAGGGUCAGCGGCGGACGGGUGAGUAACACGUGGGUAACCUGCCUGUAAGACUGGGAUAACUCCGGGAAACCGGGGCUAAUACCGGAUGCUUGAUUGAACCGCAUGGUUCAAUCAUAAAAGGUGGCUUUUAGCUACCACUUACAGAUGGACCCGCGGCGCAUUAGCUAGUUGGUGAGGUAACGGCUCACCAAGGCGACGAUGCGUAGCCGACCUGAGAGGGUGAUCGGCCACACUGGGACUGAGACACGGCCCAGACUCCUACGGGAGGCAGCAGUGGUCU